CAGCAGCCGCGGUAAUACAGAGGGUGUAAGCGUUAAUCGGAUUUACUGGGCGUAAAGGGCGCGUAGGUGGUUAUGUAAGUGAGAUGUGAAAUCCCCGGGCUCAACCUGGGAACUGCAUCUUAUACUGCGUAGCUGGAGUGCAGUAGAGGGUAGUGGAAUUUCCGGUGUAGCGGUGAAAUGCGUAGAUAUCGGAAGGAACACCAGUGGCGAAGGCGGCUACCUGGACUGACACUGACACUGAGGCGCGAAAGCGUGGGGAGCAAACAGGAUUAGAUACCCCAGUAGUCCCUGUCUCUUAUAA
RNAcentral lists this ribosomal RNA (301 nucleotides) under uncultured bacterium. RNAcentral describes it as "partial 16S ribosomal RNA". It matches the Rfam family "Bacterial small subunit ribosomal RNA", at positions 509 to 809 of the family's 1533-position model. The record is from RNAcentral.